AUGGAUUUUUUAGUGAAGUUCACGUCAUUAUUUCAUGAUGAAUAUAUAGACCUAUUUA
RNAcentral lists this transfer RNA (58 nucleotides) under Tetragnatha maxillosa. RNAcentral's name for it is "tRNA-Glu". Lineage: Eukaryota; Metazoa; Arthropoda; Arachnida; Araneae; Tetragnathidae. The record is from RNAcentral.